GGGGGACAAGUAGAGUGGCGCACGGGUGAGUAACACGUAGGUAAUCUACCUUCGGAUGGGGAAUAACAACCGGAAACGGUUGCUAAUACCGCAUAAUGCAGCGGCACCUAAUGGUGACAGUUGUUAAAGCGGGGGAUCGAAAGACCCCGCGUCUGAAGAGGAGCCUGCGGCGGAUUAGCUAGUUGGUAAGGUAAUGGCUUACCAAGGCAACGAUCCGUAACCGGCCUGAGAGGGCGGACGGUCACACUGACACUGACAUACGGGUCAGACUCCUACGGGAGGCAGCAGUCGGGAAUUUUGGGCAAUGGGCGAAAGCCUGACCCAGCAACGCCGCGUGAAGGAUGAAAUCCCUCGGGAUGUAAACUUCGCAAGAACGGGAAGAAUAAGUAGGGGACAACACCCCCUAUGAUGACGGUACCGUUUGUAAGCUCCGGCUAACUCCGUGCCAGCAGCCGCGGUAAUACGGGGGGAGCAAGCGUUGUUCGGAUUUACUGGGCGUAAAGGGCGCGUACGCGGCCUCCGCAAGUCAGUUGUGAAAUCUCCGAGCUUAACUCGGAAGGUCAA
This 564-nucleotide ribosomal RNA is filed under the name uncultured bacterium. Its description in RNAcentral is "bacterial SSU rRNA". It matches the Rfam family "Bacterial small subunit ribosomal RNA", at positions 81 to 626 of the family's 1533-position model. The record is from RNAcentral.